UCAAGCAUUAAGAGCGCAGGGUGGAUGCCUUGGCACUGAGAGCCGAAGAAGGACGCGGCAAGCUGCGAAAAGCUCCGGGGAGGCGCAAACAGCCCGAGAUCCGGAGAUAUCCGAAUGGGGAAACCCGCAUGGAAAGACUCCAUGCAUCCAUACGCCAAUCCAUAACGUAUGGAAGGGAACCGGGGGAACUGAAACAUCUAAGUACCCCGAGGAGAAGAAAGAAAACUCGAUUUCCGAAGUAGCGGCGAGCGAAAUGGAAAGAGCCCAAACCAUGGUGCGUGCACCAUGGGGUUACGGACUGCAUAAGGUAUUUGAAAGGAUAGCCGAAUGGUUUUGGGAAAGCCAUCCAGAGAGGGUGAAAGACCCGUAGGCGAAAUCCUUGAGAAGCCGGCAGGAUCCAGAGUACCACGAGACACGUGGAACCUUGUGGGAAGUCGGGGGGACCACCCCCCAAGGCUAAAUACUCCUCAGUGACCGAUAGCGCAUAGUACUGUGAAGGAAAGGUGAAAAGGACCCCGGGAGGGGAGUGAAAGAGAACCUGAAACCUUGUGCUUACAAGCAGUCAAAGCACGUUAAAGUGUGAUGACGUACUUUUUGUAGAACGGUCCGGCGAGUUAUAGUAACGAGCAAGCUUAAGGUAUUCAGUACCGGAGGCGAAGCGAGAGCGAGUCUGAAUAGGGCGUAAAAAGUUCGUUGCCAUAGACCCGAAACCGGGUGACCUAACCAUGAGCAGGCUGAAGUGAGAGUAAAAUCUCAUGGAGGGCCGAACGCACGUUCGUUGCAAUGACCGGCGAUGACUUGUGGUUAGCGGAGAAAUUCCAAUCGAACUCGGAGAUAGCUGGUUCUCCCCGAAAUAGCUUUAGGGCUAGCGUUAUCUUAGAUUACCGGAGGUAAAGCACUGAAUGGGCUAGGGGGCGAUAAGCUUACUGAACCCUAUCAAACUCAGAAUGCCGGCUAAUUGAUGGAUAGCAGUCAGACAGUGUGAGAUAAGUUUCAUUGUCAAAAGGGAAACAGCCCAGACCCACAGCUAAGGUCCCUAAUGUAUGCUAAGUGGAAAACGAUGUGGAAUUGCGAAAACAACCAGGAUGUUGGCUUAGAAGCAGCCACUCAUUAAAAGAGUGCGUAAUAGCUCACUGGUCGAGUGACCCUGCGCCGAAAAUUCAACGGGGCUAAACAAUGUACCGAAGCUUGGGAUUCUAAAGUAAUUUAGAGUGGUAGGAGAGCGUCGAAUAAGGGGUGAAGUCAGAGCGGAAGCGCUGGUGGACUUUAUUCGAGUGAGAAUGCCGGAAUGAGUAGCGAGAAUUAUGUGAGAAUCAUAAUGGCCGAAAGACUAAGGUUUUAGAAGGAAGGUUCGUCCGCUUCUAGUUAGCCGGGAGCUAAGGCGAGGCCGAGAGGCGUAGUCGAUGCACAUACGGUUGAGAUUCCGUAGCUACCUUGCAUUUAAGCGAAGGGACACAUUUGAAGGGCAUGACCCGGGCGUUGGUUGACCCGGGCGUAAGGGACCGAAAAUAAGUAGGGAAGCAUGCUUGGAUGGUGGCGAGAAAAGCUUCGUGUAUAUAAGCAGGGUACCCGUACUGCAAACCGACACAGGUAGUCAGGAAGAGGAUUCUAAGGCCAUCGGGAGAAGCGUUGUUAAGGAACUCGGCAAAUUGACCCCGUAACUUCGGAAUAAGGGGUGCUCACGCGAGUGAGCCGCAGUGAAUAGGUCCAGGCAACUGUUUAUCAAAAACACAGCUCUCUGCUAAAUCGUAAGAUGACGUAUAGGGGGUGACGCCUGCCCGGUGCUGGAAGGUUAAGAGGAGCGCUUAGCAUUAGCGAAGGUGUGAAUUGAAGCCCCAGUAAACGGCGGCCGUAACUAUAACGGUCCUAAGGUAGCGAAAUUCCUUGUCGGGUAAGUUCCGACCUGCACGAAUGGCGUAACGACUUCCCCGCUGUCUCCAACAUAGACUCAGCGAAAUUGAAUUCUGAGUUAAGAUGCUCAGUACCCGCGGUUAGACGGAAAGACCCCGUGAACCUUUACUAUAGCUUUGCAGUGGUAUUAGGUGACAAAUGUGUAGGAUAGGUGGGAUGCUAUGAAGUUAUGACGCCAGUUGUAAUGGAGCAGACGUUGAAAUACCACCCUUUUGUUAUUUGAUAUCUAACCUGCUUCCCUGAACGGGAAGAGGGACCCUGCAUGGUGGGUAGUUUGACUGGGGCGGUCGCCUCCCAAAGAGUAACGGAGGCGCGCAAAGGUUGGCUCAGACUGGUCGGAAAUCAGUCGUCGAGUGCAAUGGCAUAAGCCAGCCUGACUGCGAGAGAGACAUUUCGAGCAGAGACGAAAGUCGGUCAUAGUGAUCCGGUGGUCCCGAGUGGAAGGGCCAUCGCUCAACGGAUAAAAGGUACUCCGGGGAUAACAGGCUGAUUCCGCCCAAGAGUUCACAUCGACGGCGGAGUUUGGCACCUCGAUGUCGGCUCAUCACAUCCUGGGGCUGGAGAAGGUCCCAAGGGUUCGGCUGUUCGCCGAUUAAAGUGGUACGCGAGCUGGGUUUAGAACGUCGUGAGACAGUUCGGUCCCUAUCUGCCGUGGGUGUAGGAUACUUGAAAGGAUUUGUCCUUAGUACGAGAGGACCGGGAUGAACAUACCUCUGGUGUACCAGUUGUUCUGCCAAGAGCAACGCUGGGUAGCUAAGUAUGGACGGGAUAACCGCUGAAUGCAUCUAAGCGGGAAACCCACCUUGAAACUAGGUAUCCCAAUUAAGACCGUGGUAGACCACCACGUUGAUAGGUCAGGUGUGUAAGUACAGCAAUGUAUUUAGCUAACUGAUACUAAUAGUCUGAUUGGCUUGAUUUU
Molecule: ribosomal RNA, 2830 nt
Filed under: human gut metagenome
Description: bacterial LSU rRNA
Rfam family: Bacterial large subunit ribosomal RNA
Source: RNAcentral